This 254-nucleotide ribosomal RNA is filed under the name uncultured Xylanimicrobium sp. RNAcentral's name for it is "partial 16S ribosomal RNA". It matches the Rfam family "Bacterial small subunit ribosomal RNA", at positions 524 to 776 of the family's 1533-position model. Lineage: Bacteria; Bacillati; Actinomycetota; Actinomycetes; Micrococcales; Promicromonosporaceae. The record is from RNAcentral.
UACGUAGGGGGCAAGCGUUAUCCGGAAUUACUUGGGCGUAAAGAGCUCGUAGGCGGUCUGUCGCGUCUGGUGUGAAAUCCCGAGGCUCAACCUCGGGCUUGCAUCGGGUACGGGCGGACUAGAGUGCUGUAGGGGAGACUGGAAUUCCUGGUGUAGCGGUGGAAUGCGCAGAUAUCAGGAGGAACACCGAUGGCGAAGGCAGGUCUCUGGGCAGUUACUGACGCUGAGGAGCGAAAGCAUGGGGAGCGAACAGG